AUACUGCUUAGUGCGCGGCCGCAGAGGGUGAAGGAAGGAGGAGAACAAGUCUCUCACUGCCUACACGCAGACGCAGCUGAACAAAUCCAACCAAAACGAGUGCUUCUUCAUCUCCUCUGCUCACUCUUCAGUCUCGUGGUUUCUGUAAUUUUUUCCUUAGGGUUUUCUUUUCCUUAGUGCAAGAUGACUCGUUCUAAAGCCAGCUCCAAGAAACAACGUGGCGUUGAUUUUAAGAAAAUAAGGCGAAAGGUUGGAAGGAAGCUGCCACCACCUAAGAAUACAACAGAUACUGAAAUUAAAUCUAAAGCAAUUGUUCUGCCGGAACAGAGUGUAGCGGCAGAGAAAGCUGGUUUGGCUGUAAACAAGAAAGGUUUGACUUUAAAAGAACUUCUCCAGCAAACGUCUCAUCACAAUGCAAAAGUUCGUAGAGAUGCAUUGAUUGGUAUUAAGGAUUUAUUCAUCAGAUAUCCAGAAGAACAGAGGUUGCACAAGUAUGCUGCUGUGGAAAAACUUCGUGAGCGCAUUGGUGAUGAUGAUAAAGUGGUUCGAAAAUCAUUAUAUGAUCUUUUUAAAGUAGUGAUUUUACCUGGCUGUAAAGAGGAUAAUCAAGAGCUGAUCAUUUCUUUAUUAAUGCCUUACAUUUUUAAUGCAAUGACUCAUUUGGCGGUUGAUGUCCGAAUCAUGGCAUUUGAUUUCUUAGAGCUCAUUCUUGAGUUUUAUCCUCCUUCCUUUUCAUCUCAUGCAGAAAAGAUUUUUCAGAAUUACGAGGAUAUUCUAAGGAAGAACCAGUUCUAUUUACAGGACAAAGGAAAACUAAAGGAUGCUCUUGCUGGAUUGGUUCACUGCUUGUCACUCCUGCCAUGGAAUAAAAGAGAUACUGAUUUUCAUAAUAAGGAUACUGGAAAAAGGGUAUUGCACGCGUUUCAAGUUGAUGUGUCUGUGAGCUCUAAUGGUUUUUCUUUUAACAUAAAGAAACUGAAGGAUCUAGUGCCAAUAUUAAUAAAUAGUUUCCUGGAAUUUAUUCCACUGGUUCAUGCUACGGAAGGUCUUGAAGGGAAGUCUUUUGGUUGUAUGGUAUCCAUUCUUCGUAGCAUAGAUCUUAUAGUUAGGUCUAUUGCUUAUGGGACUGAUAAGGAUUCAGAAUCCCCAAGUUCUCAAGGUGGAACUGAUGUGGCUGUACAGGAUGUUACUAUCUCUUCUGUGCUUGUGAAGAAAUUAUUUUCACUUUUUCCUCUCAAUCCAGCUGAGCAUCUUUCAGAAAAGGAUUGUGAUAGGUUGCUUGACUUGAACAUGGCCAUUGCCAAAAUAUUCUUUGAAUUAAAUGAAUGGAGGUGUCUUCCUCCUAAUUUGUUGGAGACAUUUCUAGAAUUUUUUGAAAAUGCUCUGCUUGGGAAGUUAUGCAGGGCUGCACGGUCUGGUAAGGCUGUCUGGGAAGAGCAUUUAGUUCAUCUCCUUUCAUUUAUUCCGAAAUUUGUUUCACGUGGGGCAAGCUAUUGGACAUCUCGUCUUCUUCAGGCUUUUACCCAGACAUUCAAGGAAAGCAUGCCAGGUUCCUUGCUGAAGUUGGCCUGUCUUUCUGCUAUUGAAGAUAUGCUAACUCCUAUCCAAAGCAUGCUUUCCAUGGAGACUAGCAAUCCAGAAAAUUUAGAAUUUCAAGAUGCUUUACUUGCAUGGAUUAGAUAUCUCCCUCUGUUGCUUAUCCAGCUUGGAGAUAAACACCCAGCCUGCUCCCAGGUCGUCUUGCGUCUUCAACUUCGUAUUGGACAAUGUGCUUUGUUGAAUCCUUCUCUUGUUUGCAUGUAUGACAACAUGCAGUACUCAUUGGAAGAUUUUUAUUGUACAUGUCAAGAAGGAGGACCGAUAUGUUAUGGUCCUUUUCUCAGGCUUCCUAGAGAAUCUCAAGAGCUCUCUUUAUGUUCCCUUUACUAUUUCUCCCAUUUGGACCUGCCUAUUUUAAAGUCAAUAGCUUGUUGUUGCCUAAGUUCAGAUCUAGAUCCCUAUGUAUUAUUUAGGACUGUAGAGAUUGUCCAUUCAGCCUAUAGAGAUGGACAUAUAGCAAUUGCAGAUUACUUGAGUGUCUUCAUCACCUUGGUCUUGCGUUUCAAAGUUUCUCCUGAAGUCGGUUCUGCUGGUUUUAAGGAUGACCCAAUCUGCCAAACUUUGAAGUCAUUGACAACUGUUCUUUGCUCAUACAUCGCACAGAUGGGUGACAAUUCUCUUGUUCUACAGAUGAUUGAGAAAGUAAUAGUCGAUCAAAUAUCUGAAAAGCCUUCUUUGGAUAAUAGUUGUUCUCUCCUGAGAAUUCUUGUUGCAGUAGAUUCCAAGCCCACAAGACUUUCUGAACAAAGCAUUAUCACUCUUGGUCAUCAUCUUUCCGAUUAUCUGAUGGAUGCUAUGCUGUGCAUUCCAGAUGAUGGUGAUGAACGGGGAACUCUAUCCAUUCAAUCAAGUACUCAGCAUUAUUAUCUCCUACCUUGCUUUUUCUUGUUUGAUCGGUGCCAUAAACUUAUGGGUCUUGUGUUGAAGAGAAUGGGAUCAGCUAUAACGGAAAGUAGUUUGUCACUGGUAUCUGAUAAAUGUGCUCAACCUGAGAGGAACUUCUUGAUUAGGGUGAAUGCUAUUACUUCUGUACUUCUAUUGAUGCACAAGGAUGCUAAAUUGCAACAGAUUAUGUCUUUAUUCAAGGAAGAUAUUGAUAACAUCAUCCAGCAAGUUCUUUCUUUACAGUCAUCAGGGCAGAUCAUUGUGACAAUUGAAGAAAGGCAUGAAAUACAAUGUGCGUUUGAUCGACUAAAAUUCUUAUCAUGACAACAAUGGUCAGGAAAGAUGUUCUGCAGUGGGAAACUGGUUCAUGAUAUUUGCAGACAUAGUUGGUAUAAAAGGGACCCUUUUGUUGUCAAAUUGUUAGGCAGAAGGAUAUGGACCAAGCUCUGUGUGAACUCUGGAUCAAAAUGGUUAAGGAGAAUGCAAUAUUUUGCAUACUUUGAUAGUGGAGCAACUUGGCAUCAGUUUUUUGAAUCUCAGAGAGCAUGCUUGGCAUCCUCAUAUACCAACGUACUUUUCUUUGGAUUAUUUCGCAAGCAAUUUUGAGGUCUGCUUGCAAGGCGCUAUGUUUCACGGUGGAGAAAUCUAAAUUUUGCCUCCAAUUUUGUCAAUAGCAUAGCAAUGUUCUGUUCUACCAGUUAGGCUUGUGAUGAGUGCCAAUGGCCUAGACACAGUAAAUACUGUAUAAUCUCCAUGUUUAUUUUCGUUUUCCUAUACAACUAUAUUGUUACGACUAAAGACAUCUGAUAGCACCAAAAUCUUGAUGAUAAGAGAACGUUAAAAAUUAAAUGAAAUUAUUUAAAGUAAUUUAACAAUCAUACUAGGCG
Non-coding RNA from Cajanus cajan (pigeon pea), 3371 nucleotides. The record is from RefSeq and is a predicted model, not a curated record. Lineage: Eukaryota; Viridiplantae; Streptophyta; Magnoliopsida; Fabales; Fabaceae.